This 3336-nucleotide long non-coding RNA is filed under the name Sus scrofa (pig). RNAcentral describes it as "lncRNA (ENSSSCG00005001555.1)". The record is from RNAcentral. Lineage: Eukaryota; Metazoa; Chordata; Mammalia; Artiodactyla; Suidae.
GGGAGCUGGACACCUGGAGGCUGGAAUUGGAAGGUGUUUGGAUCCCCGCUGGCUCUGGAGCCUCAGCUGAAGGGCUGUGGAGGGUCGUUCCGGGCGUCUGCCCUCACUUUAGCUGAGCUACUGUCCAGGCUGCUAUUCGGGCUUGUCUGUUGCACUUCUUGCUGCCUGCUGGCUUUACCUCUCAGUUCAAAUCUUUAAGCGAAUUUGAGUGGCUGAGCUAAUUAACUGUCAUCUCUGAGAUUAAACCAUGUCGUCAUAGGUUCACUGCCAGCCUAGGGAUUAGUUGCUUUUAGGCCGGGUUCCUGCUCUUUGGUCCUGUCAGAUUAUGUGACAAGCAGGUUGAUGAUGAUGGCAGUGGUGAUGAUGAUGAUGGUGGGGUGUAUGUGGGUGUGUGUGUGUACAGGAAGUCAUUGCCAAGGGCUGGCUCCCGACAUUGGUUGGGAAUGUUACCCAUUUCCUUUAGAAGGGGCUGUGGCUGGGCAAGCACAUCAAGAAGGUGAAAAGUCACCGUCAUGUCAUGCCCACAAGAUGCCAUAAGAUGGAAGCUAUCACCCCUGUUUUGAAGCAGAGGAAAUUGCAGCCAAAAGAGGUUAAGUACUAUGCUCAAAGUUGUUGUCUCUGUAGGUGGCUGGGCUGGGAUCUGAAAUUUGGCUUAUUUGAUCCCACUAGGCCAUGAUGUGCUUUUUACUUCUGAGUUCUUCAGAGAUGAGGCAAGGCCAUGGUGAAAUGCAAGGAAUAGUGCUGGACCUUUCUUACUCUUUUUAAAAAAAAAUUUUUUUAUGGCCACACCCAGGGCAUAUGGAAGUUUCGGGGCCAGGGAUUGCUGUGGCAAUGCCGGAUCCUUUAACCCACCGCACCAGGCCAGGGAUUGAACGUGUGCCUCUGGAGCCACCUGAGCUGCUGCAGUCAGGUUCUUAACCCACUGUGCCACAGCGGGAACUCCCCUUUCUUAUUCUUGGAGGGGCUGCGGCUGUGAGUUUUUUUCCGAGGGCUUGAUAACCAGGAUACCUUCUCAUUUUUGCAUCCUAAGGAAAAGGGCUUCCAAAAAAAGAAUGACAAAAAAAAAAAAAAAAGCAGGUACUUGUCAGUGUUUUGCCUUGGUGACGUUUUUCCUGGGAGAACACAACAGCCCUGCUGACUGUCAGAUAAGCACUGUGGCCCUGAAGGGGUAGGGCGAGAUCAGUACAAGCCACUUACUGUAGGGCUGGAGUGCACUAGAGAGGGAGCCCAUAUACAGGCUGUUCUUGGUGGCAAAUGCAUUUCCUUCUGCUCACAGCAGCACACGCCGUGGCUUUCGGUGAUGUAGGUGUUUAGAAAAAUUAGUUUUGAGACAAUCCCUACAGCAUACCCACAGACCUGUUUACCAGUCCUUCUCUGCUUAUUUAUUGAUCCUGCACCCUGUGACCAGACCUGGCCAGCCCCUGCUCAGAAAGAAGAGGCAAGUUUGGUCCAGGGUUUUGGGACUGCCAUUCUGUGUGUGACUUAGGUGAUUAGGGAAAGCCCAUUUACCCAGAAAUCAAAACACAGAACCUCUGGGAGUGCCAAGUGGAAGUUCAUCUGUUUCUGCUGUCAUUUUUGAGAAGGCACCGCGCUUGUACUCUCGGCAGCGGAUUAUGCAUAAUCAGUGGUGAUGACUGUGCGAGCGUUUUUAAUUAGUCCUCAUCCCUCUGACUUGAGCAAUCAGAAACCCUGGAUCAGAGUAGAGAUUUAUAAUCAAUCAUUCAUCAUCAUCUGAGGUGGGCAUAAACCCAUUUGCUUUUAGCCUGCAGCUUAAAAUACCUGCUUCAGAGAGUUGCAGCUAUCUAUAAGCCAAGUGUAUUUUGAGCCUGUAGACCUAAGCCUCAGAUUGGUCUGAUUAAGUGUAAUUGUGUGAAUUGAGGUGUCUCUAGCCUUCACUCUGUACAGAGAAAGCCUGCCAACAGAUCAAAUAGUUUUAGAGAAAGAGUAUCAGGCUGGCCUCAAGGAACCCUGCGUUCUAAGCUUAGCUUUGUGAACCCCAGUUUCCUCGUCUGUAAAAAAAGAGGAUCAAAGCAGCUGGAAUUUAAGUCCUGCUUAUGUCAUGUUGAAGUUGUGUUGCUUAUAAUAGAACACUGAUAGUAAACCACAUUUUGGGGACCAUUUAGUAUGUGCCAGGUACCAGGCUACAGAUAGCACUGUGUCUUAAGCAGGUGCAUGAAAAGGCCACAACUGUCUUAGCCUGAGAGUCCUUGGUGGGAGGCUGAUCUCUGUAGGGGCUGUCAAAUAUGAAUUUACAACAAUUAUCUCAAUCAAGAUCACUGAAUUAAAUAGAGUCCUGUAGAGGUGACCUUCUGUUUGCCUUAGUGGGUCUGACAGAAUUCUGCGGUUCAAGUGAAACUAACAGAGUAAAAAUUUCUAAUUUAACUGACAGCCAGAAAAUUCCUCUGUUUUGAUCAGCUGUUGAAAUGAUUCCCCCCUGACCUCCAAAAGUGAAAUUCUAGAGAUUAGUCCAGGAAACAAGUUAAUCCUCUUUCUGGUCAGUGGUGUUCGUGAGCCUGUAGAAACUGGAUCCUUUUCAUUCCCGAACUAAUUGUUGGGAGUGUAAGUUGGUUUAGCUUUUUGGGAGCCUAGGUACAUCAGCAGCCUUCAGGUGUGCACACCCCUUGAGUCAGCAUUUCUGCUUCUGGGGUUCCAGCUGAAGAACAGGAUCAAGGUUAUGCUCAAAUGUUCAGUUAAAAGGAUGUUCCUUGUCCACUGUUUAUAACCCUGAAACCUGGAAGGGAACUAGACAUCUAGCCAUUAGCAGAUGGGUUAAAUAAAUGUAUUUAAUGUUAAAGCAUGUCGUUAAAAUGGCAUCUGUUGCUCAGCACAAAAAAAAAAAAAAUGGCAAAAAAAACCCCAACUCCACCCAGUUUAAACAGCAGUAUGUGCUGGGUGAGACAUCUUGGUGUAACCACAUGAACUAGCAAAUGUGCACACGUAGCUGUUUAAAGUAGUAUGUCUGGGGCUCAAAAUGGUUGUUUUUGUCUGGUCGAGGGAUAUUACUUUUUUUUUUUGGGCAUAUGAAUUUAAAAUAUUUUUUGUAAAGAACGUACUUUGUUUUGUAUUAAGAAGAAGAAAUUAGGAAUUCCCGUUGUGGUGCAGUGGAAACAAAUCUGACUAGUAUCCAUGAGGAUUCGGGUUCGAUCCCUGGCCUCGCUCAGUGGGUUGGGGGAUCUGGCGUUGCCAUGAGCUAUGGUGUAGGUCACAGAUGUGGCUCGGAUCUCUCAUGGCUUUGUCUGUGCCGUAGACCAGCAGCUGCAGUUCUGAUUCGACCCCUAGCCUGGAAACUUCCAUAUGCCACGAGUGAGGCCCUGAAAAGUGUAAAAAAAAAAAAAA